ACAUUUCUAUUAUUUGUUUCCUCCGUAAGAACAGUUUUGUAAGUUAAAUUAAACAAGUUAAAAACUUUGAAGAGAUGUUUCUCCAAUGCCUUAGGAUUUCUUCUGAGCCAGGACUGAGUUUCUUUUCCAGUAUCCAUUCUUGGUGCGACACCACCCCACAUGAUUUACAAAGAACUGUACCUCAUGUGUCAACCAAGACAUCAGAUGACCCCAACAUGCCAGAUGCAAGCUAGCAUCACAGGAACUCUGCAUGUUCCCAUGAAGCUGUUCUGCAUUUUGAGAGUGUGAUAGUGUGUCUCCGAAGAGAGGCAAGGACGUGUCUGUCUUUUAGCUCCAAGCCUCCUGGAAAACAAGGCAUCUUUAAACUAAGCUAACCUAGCAGAUGACGGGUUAUCCCAGUCCCUCCUGGGAGAGGAUUUCAGUGGAAGAUGGCUGGAAGCAACUGCACGAGAAGAGCUUGAUAUAUUCUGAGUCGUGUCCCGCAGUGGAGGCAGGUUUCUGAGGCAAUCCUUUUUCUCCCUGAAUUAUAGAAGGCAUCGAUGCUGGGAGAGCAUUGCAGUCCCACUGCCGUUCUUCAAGAUCCUGCAAGGAAAACCUGAUCCAUGCUUUGCCCUUCUUGGGAUUCUCCGUGCCCCUUACAAGCACAGGAAGGUAAGAUGGGUCAUCUGCCCAGCACAGAGCUCUCCCAGUCCAGUGCUGUAUUGCCUCCCAGCCUAAGAGCAGGCAGUGGCACGGGGCUUGGCGGAAGAGGAAGGCAGCAACCUGGGACUGGGAGGGCACUUAGCAGCCAUGUGUGGCACACAAGCAGGAUUUCCCUAGAGGAAAAUUGCAGCAUUUUCUCCUAAUUAUAUGGAUUUUACUUGCCAGUCAAGUCUCUGAUAGCUGAGAGAAAUGCAAGACUGCUAUCUAAAACAGCACAGAGGUCCAAGGCAAAUGUUCUUCCCAGCUUGCAGGAGUGUUACAAGCUGUCAUUUAGCUCUCAGCCUGCUUGGAGAACUGAUGGCAAUGCUUGUGUUUUGAUUUCUGCUGGGGAAGAGCAGCCUGCCUAGCACUUAUCACUAGCCCAAGAGAGCGUUUCAGGACCGAGUGAUAGCAAGAAGCGCUUACCGAAUGUUCACAGUGCUGUGUUAGGGGGGAGGAGGCCCAGAAAAAAUAUUUCUGGUUUACCACCAGGGAUAAAUGCUGUAUUUUCCUGAUGAUUAUUAUUAAACAUCGUCAUUUCUGAGGUGUUAUGGGGUGCUUUGUGCCCAGGUUUCCAGCUGUACCCAUCCCUGGGGUCCCAUCCCACGUUGGGAGCAGUAGCUUGCCCAUGUGCACUUUUGUGACAUGCCUGUGGUGAGUUGUCUGCUCCUCUUUGCUGCUCAGAACGUGCUUCCUGCACACCUGGUAACAGCAUGAAGCCCUCACAGACUAGGGAAUUUCUGUGAGGUGACAAAUUUGCUGUGCUGACGUUCUGCCUGCCAGGACACAGUUGAUGUGAUGCUGGCUGGCUCUCCCUGGCUGUAUAUCCUGAAAUGCAAAGUCAGUAUGGCCCAGCCCCAAAAUGUAAGCCCUCAGCUUUAAUGCUGGUGGUACUAGCUUGCCAGCACAUGAGAUAGUGUGAAUUUAUGUUCUCUCUUUGCUGUGAGCACUCCAGUUUGUUUUGAAUUAACCUUUAAAUUAAUGUACAGAUAACUGGACACGUCAUGAAGUGUUCCUGCCUUAUCCACGUGAGAUAAUUUGGUGGUUUGGGAUCUAUUUGCCCUCUCCUGGGUAAAAGUUUUCCUCAGGAAGAAAUUCUAUACCAUCGGCUCUGUGCUGUGCUUUGCAGUCAGAUUUUUUUUUUUCUAUUUUUGUCACAUUCGUGACCAAAUGCUAUAUUUGGUUCUGACCCAGCUCUGUAUAACUUUUUGUAGCGGUGGAGCUGGAACCUACACAGCACACACUAGGCAAAGAAGGACAGACCUAUGGCCUUAAAAAUGCUGUAAUGGCACCACGAAAACUAACAUUGCUUGCAAAGACAGUGCAAGAGAAAAUGGCGAUAACCUUUUAUGACAAGGAAGCAGAGUGUGGCUUAUUGCUCUCAUAGCUUUAGCAAAUAGAUUCUUGCUUCCGCUGUUGCCAAAGCAUCCGUUGCCCUAAUGGCUGGGGGGGAAGGAUGUUUGCCUCUAUUGGGUGUGCAGCUGUGUGACUUUAUGCUCUGAGGAUGGAUGGAGUCUCAUAAAAUGAGUAAGAAAAAGGAGGGUUAAUGGGUGGUAAUUUUGCUACUCGUUUCUAUCCUGCAUUGUCAGACAAGUGAACAGGUAACAAAGAAGAGGUGUUCUGCCAGAGUCAGGGAGAUCCAAAAUCACAGAACUUUUCCAUGUUUGUGAGUGAUUAACACAAAAAUUAAUGAGGCUUCAAUGUAAUUAAGGGAUAGAAAUGGCUUAGCCCCAAGACUGUGAAGAUUCUAUAGAGCAGAACUGCUGAGAUGAUUUAGCAAAGGGUUAAAUAAUGUAACUAAUCCCUGUGCACAGCUGUGAAAUUGCUUCUGUCCAUUUAUUUAAAAUGAAAAGUCACAAAACAGGUGAGCGUACGGCUGUAGCUGUAACUUAGUUCACUCCUGCAUACUCCCUUUGUGUGCUCUCGUGCCAGAUCCCAUGGCCAACCAAAGGCCGUUUUGGCCAGCAGACACCAAGGCCACAUCAUGUCCCUCUGCAGCAGCAGCACCCUGUGAGCUCACUGUGUCUCACCCUGGGGAGCCCUGGCUCUGCAGUGCUGUGGCCUCUGCUGCCUGGAUGCUGUGAGUGGGAGCUGUGCUGUGUUCUCUUCCUUCUCCCACUUACAAUAUGUAGGCCCUGCCUCCUUCGCACUCCCAUCCCCUUACGCCAGGCCUGGCUCCUUGCAGCAGCUCUGAAGCAUGGGGAGGUGUUGGGUAAGUGAUCUUGCACGGUAAGCCCGCAGGUGACACGUAGCUGGGGCAGUGCUGCACCCCGAGCACCGCGCUGUGCCGGCUCCCAGGUGCCAAGGAAAGCAGAGCCUGGGCCACACUAAUAAAAACUCUUCCCUCAGUGCUCUUUGGCAAAGUGCAAAGAAAACCUUUUUUCAUCCUCAGUGACUAAAAAUAAAUCCUAUUUUGGGCUUAAAAAGGAGCUGCAUGACUAAAACGAGCCGUUUGGUUUCAUUCAUGUUUGCUGUCUAUUAAUCUGUUCUCUUCACCCUCAGCAGAGUAUGACUCAGACUUUCUCAUUGUCUUCCUCCCUCACUAUGUGUGUUUUGACUUUAAAUCCUGCCGGCUGACGCACGCAGAGCUGACACCACGACAGCUUGAUCCAGCCGGCUCCCAGCAGACUCCUGAUCUUCACCGGCUGCUGAACGUAACACCCUGCCUGCUCUGCUGGUAUUUUUACAGCUAAUGUUGGUAAGCAGAUGACACAGGCUGGUGAAGAUCCUUGAAACUCCACGGGAGGAAAUGCAUGAGUAUGUGUGUGGGAGAGGCCUGCAGAUAAAAAUACUGUGCCGGCUAUAGGAAAAGACACACAUGCCUCAAUCUGUUGGUGGGUUGCUAUUCUCGUUCAUGGUAAUCGAAGUGGAGGCUGCACUGAACAAGUACAGCAGUAGGAUCUUUCCCUGUUGAUUCACUUGCUGUCUUCUACUCUCCCUCUGGUGCGGCUUCUUGACUCCUCUCCCACUAGAAGCAAUGGCCAACUCCAGCUCCAAGUCUUCCUAUCCCCUCCAGACACUCAGCAUCCCCAGCACCCACAGGGUAGGGUCACUGCAGAGCCCCCACUUUCCUUAUGCCAUUAUCUUCCCUUUCCAGCUUUGCUUAUGAAAUUUAAACCACUUAGCAUAUGGACUAAAUUUAGGGAGGCAUAAAGUAUUUGCGUAAAAUACGCUUGAUUUUCCAAGUGUGAAAAAUAAGCACGAAAUAACAAGUCUAAUGUUGGACUCGAGAGGAGGUCAAGUAUUUUAAAAUUAAAAUCCUUUAAAA
This is a long non-coding RNA of Centrocercus urophasianus (Greater sage-grouse), 3949 nucleotides long. RefSeq lists it as uncharacterized. The transcript is spliced from 4 exons. Lineage: Eukaryota; Metazoa; Chordata; Aves; Galliformes; Phasianidae. The record is from RefSeq and is a predicted model, not a curated record.